Long non-coding RNA from Cottoperca gobio, 730 nucleotides. The record is from Ensembl. Lineage: Eukaryota; Metazoa; Chordata; Actinopteri; Perciformes; Bovichtidae.
CGCCGCUUGGCGUUAUGGGAGCGCAGAGAGGAUGUGUUCGUGACUACGUCGAAAUCCGGACCAAGAUUGUGCAGGGCCCAAAUAUCUAUCGAGACCAAAGAGGCAGCCGAUCCAUAAAGCCCCGGUAUAAGCAGAUACAUUUCAUGAGUCAUCGCAUCUCUCCAUUGACUUUGUAUGCAGUCACACCACCUUUAAAAUCACCCCACGUUCUUUCUGAUCACAUCAUGGGAGUUCUCUUCAUACUAAGUGGAAUUAAUGAAGCCGCUGCCAAAGAAACUGAAGGACCUCCUCUUGAUGGAACACUUUCCUCUAUAGUCUGAAUCAAAUGAUAGCCUUCACGUCCUCGUAGAGCAUAUCGUCAGUGCUGAGAGGAGCCGUGCAGUUAAAGACUUUCAAAGGCUGAACCGGGCACGCUGCCAAGCAUCUAUUGUUCCUGUCCUGGGCCUCUUGGUUUAAGCUCUCCCACCAGCACUGGGAGGACAGGAUUCACAUGGGUACUUGUUAAAAGUUUUUGUCAGAAUUAAUUCUCUCGGAAAUGUCAGCGAAGAACAGGGAGUUUUCUUUCACACCUUGUGGCUUCCUACCCUAAUUUGCCUUUCUGCUAUGAUACACCAGCAGCUUCAUACUAUUGUAUGGCAAGGAAUAAAAAUAUUUUUUUCCCUGAGUCAUUUUCAAUUCUCUUUCUGUGCUCGUUCAUUUUGAUUCCAUAAAUUCCCAAAUUGGAAGCCCC